Molecule: ribosomal RNA, 497 nt
Filed under: uncultured bacterium
Lineage: Bacteria
Description: partial 16S ribosomal RNA
Rfam family: Bacterial small subunit ribosomal RNA
Source: RNAcentral
GAUGAACGCUGGCGGCGUGCCUAAUACAUGCAAGUCGAGCGAACAGACGAGGAGCUUGCUCCUCUGACGUUAGCGGCGGACGGGUGAGUAACACGUGGAUAACCUACCUAUAAGACUGGGAUAACUUCGGGAAACCGGAGCUAAUACUGGAUAAUAUAUUGAACCGCAUGGUUCAAUAGUGAAAGACGGUUUUGCUGUCACUUAUAGAUGGAUCCGCGCCGCAUUAGCUAGUUGGUAAGGUAACGGCUUACCAAGGCAACGAUGCGUAGCCGACCUGAGAGGGUGAUCGGCCACACUGGAACUGAGACACGGUCCAGACUCCUACGGGAGGCAGCAGUAGGGAAUCUUCCGCAAUGGGCGAAAGCCUGACGGAGCAACGCCGCGUGAGUGAUGAAGGUCUUCGGAUCGUAAAACUCUGUUAUUAGGGAAGAACAAAUGUGUAAGUAACUAUGCACGUCUUGACGGUACCUACUCAGAAAGCCACGGCUAACUACGUG